GUGUUUUAAGCUAAGUGUUAUUACAAAAAAGUCAAAAAGUUAAAAAAUUUAUGAAGUUACAGUAAGCUAAGAUUUAUUAUUGAAAGAAAAUGCCUUUUCAUAAAUUAGUGUAGCCCAAGUGUGCAGUGUUUAUAAAGUCUCCAAUAGUGUAAUGUCCUAAACCUUCACAGUCACUCCCCACUCACCCAGAACAACUUCCAGUCCUAUAAGUGCCCCAUACAAGAGUACCAUUUUUAAUUUUUUGAAGCGGAGCCUCACUCUGUCACCCAGGCUGGAGUGCAGUGGCACAAUCUCUGCUCACUGCAACCUCCACCUCCCAGGUUCCAGUGAUUCGCCUGCCUCAGCCUCCGAGUAGCUGGGAUUAUAGGUGCUCGCCACCACACCUGGAUAAUUUUUGUAUUUUUAGUAGAG
RNAcentral lists this long non-coding RNA (411 nucleotides) under Homo sapiens (human). Its description in RNAcentral is "HSALNT0129767". The record is from RNAcentral. Lineage: Eukaryota; Metazoa; Chordata; Mammalia; Primates; Hominidae.